UAGAGGUGACCAGCUGCUCUGCACCAAGGCCCUUGCAGUGAUGUAUCGUAGUCUGUUGCUGUAAACAUC
MicroRNA precursor from Ficedula albicollis (Collared flycatcher), 69 nucleotides. Lineage: Eukaryota; Metazoa; Chordata; Aves; Passeriformes; Muscicapidae. The record is from Ensembl.